This 1021-nucleotide ribosomal RNA is filed under the name Lactiplantibacillus plantarum. Its description in RNAcentral is "bacterial SSU rRNA". It matches the Rfam family "Bacterial small subunit ribosomal RNA", at positions 38 to 1024 of the family's 1533-position model. The record is from RNAcentral. Lineage: Bacteria; Bacillati; Bacillota; Bacilli; Lactobacillales; Lactobacillaceae.
AGGGGGGGGUGCUAUACAUGCAGUCGAACGAACUCUGGUAUUGAUUGGUGCUUGCAUCAUGAUUUACAUUUGAGUGAGUGGCGAACUGGUGAGUAACACGUGGGAAACCUGCCCAGAAGCGGGGGAUAACACCUGGAAACAGAUGCUAAUACCGCAUAACAACUUGGACCGCAUGGUCCGAGUUUGAAAGAUGGCUUCGGCUAUCACUUUUGGAUGGUCCCGCGGCGUAUUAGCUAGAUGGUGGGGUAACGGCUCACCAUGGCAAUGAUACGUAGCCGACCUGAGAGGGUAAUCGGCCACAUUGGGACUGAGACACGGCCCAAACUCCUACGGGAGGCAGCAGUAGGGAAUCUUCCACAAUGGACGAAAGUCUGAUGGAGCAACGCCGCGUGAGUGAAGAAGGGUUUCGGCUCGUAAAACUCUGUUGUUAAAGAAGAACAUAUCUGAGAGUAACUGUUCAGGUAUUGACGGUAUUUAACCAGAAAGCCACGGCUAACUACGUGCCAGCAGCCGCGGUAAUACGUAGGUGGCAAGCGUUGUCCGGAUUUAUUGGGCGUAAAGCGAGCGCAGGCGGUUUUUUAAGUCUGAUGUGAAAGCCUUCGGCUCAACCGAAGAAGUGCAUCGGAAACUGGGAAACUUGAGUGCAGAAGAGGACAGUGGAACUCCAUGUGUAGCGGUGAAAUGCGUAGAUAUAUGGAAGAACACCAGUGGCGAAAGCGGCUGUCUGGUCUGUAACUGACGCUGAGGCUCGAAAGUAUGGGUAGCAAACAGGAUUAGAUACCCUGGUAGUCCAUACCGUAAACGAUGAAUGCUAAGUGUUGGAGGGUUUCCGCCCUUCAGGGCUGCAGCUAAAGCAUUAAACCAUUCCGCCCGGGGGAAUACGGCCGCAAGGCUGAAAACUCAAAGGAAUUGACGGGGGCCCGCCAAAGCGGGGAAACGGGGGGUUUAUUCCAAACUUCCCCAAAAAACCUACCCGGUCUUGACAUAUUUGAAAUUUAAAAAAUUAAAAUUUCCUUUCGGG